GGUGAACGCUGGCGGCAGGCCUAACACAUGCAAGUCGAACGGCAGCACAGUAAGCGCUCUCCUUUACCGGUGGCGAGUGACGGACGGGUGAGGCGUACAUCGGCUUCUACUUUUACGGGGGUGAUAACGUAGGGAAACUUACGCUACUACCGCAUACAACCUACGGCUGGAAGCAGUGGAUCUUGGCACCUUGCGCGAGUCAAUGAGCCGAUGUCGGAUUAGCUAGUUGGCGGGGUAAAGGCCCACCAAGUCGACGCUCCGUAGCUGGUCUGAGAGGAUGAUCAGCCACACUGGAACUGAGACACGGUCCAGACUCCUACGGGAGGCAGCAGUGGGGAAUAUUGGGCAAUGGGCGCAAGCCUGAUCCAGCCAUACCGCGUGAGUGAAGAAGGCCUUCGGUUUGUAAAGCCCUUUUGUUGGGAAAGAAAAGCAGCGGAUGAAUACCCCGCUGUUCUGACGGUACCCAAAGAAUAAGCACCGGCUAACUUCGUG
Molecule: ribosomal RNA, 492 nt
Filed under: uncultured bacterium
Lineage: Bacteria
Description: partial 16S ribosomal RNA
Rfam family: Bacterial small subunit ribosomal RNA
Source: RNAcentral